Molecule: ribosomal RNA, 452 nt
Filed under: uncultured bacterium
Lineage: Bacteria
Description: bacterial SSU rRNA
Rfam family: Bacterial small subunit ribosomal RNA
Source: RNAcentral
UACGGGAGGCAGCAGUGGGGAAUAUUGCACAAUGGGCGCAAGCCUGAUGCAGCCAUGCCGCGUGUAUGAAGAAGGCCUUCGGGUUGUAAAGUACUUUCAGUCGUGAGGAAGGUGUUAAGGUUAAUAACCUUAGCAAUUGACGUUAGCGACAGAAGAAGCACCGGCUAACUCCGUGCCAGCAGCCGCGGUAAUACGGAGGGUGCGAGCGUUAAUCGGAAUUACUGGGCGUAAAGGGCACGCAGGCGGUUAAUUAAGUUGGAUGUGAAAUCCCCGGGCUUAACCUGGGAAUGGCAUUCAAGACUGGUUAGCUAGAGUCUUGUAGAGGGGGUAGAAUUCCAUGUGUAGCGGUGAAAUGCGUAGAGAUGUGGAGGAAUACCGGUGGCGAAGGCGGCCCCUGGACAAAGACUGACGCUCAUGUGCGAAGCGUGGGGAGCGAAACAGGAUUAGAUACC